UACAGAGGGGGCAAGCGUUGUUCGGAAUUACUGGGCGUAAAGGGCGCGUAGGCGGCCGCCUAAGUCAGACGUGAAAUCCCUCGGCUCAACCGGGGAACUGCGUCUGAUACUGGGUGGCUGGAGUACUGUAGGGGCAGGCGGAAUUCCGGGUGUAGCGGUGGAAUGCGUAGAGAUCCGGAGGAAGACCGGUGGCGAAGGCGGCCUGCUGGGCAGUUACUGACACUGAUGCGCGACAGCGUGGGGAGCAAACAGG
This 253-nucleotide ribosomal RNA is filed under the name uncultured bacterium. RNAcentral's name for it is "partial 16S ribosomal RNA". It matches the Rfam family "Bacterial small subunit ribosomal RNA", at positions 524 to 776 of the family's 1533-position model. The record is from RNAcentral.